RNAcentral lists this unclassified non-coding RNA (288 nucleotides) under uncultured fungus. RNAcentral describes it as "sequence contains ITS1". The record is from RNAcentral. Lineage: Eukaryota; Fungi.
GGACUACUAGGGUUUCUAAUCCUGUUUGAUACCCACACUUUCGAGCAUCAAUGUCAGUGGCAGUUUAGUAAGCUGCCUUCGCAAUCGGAGUUCUUCGUGAUAUCUAAGCAUUUCACCGCUACACCACGAAUUCCGCCUACCUCAACUGUACUCAAGACUGCCAGUAUCAAUUGCAAUUUUACGGUUGAGCCGCAAACUUUCACAACUGACUUAACAACCCAUCUACGCUCCCUUUAAACCCAAUAAAUCCGGAUAACGCUCGGAUCCUCCGUAUUACCGCGGCGGCUG